GGCAUAUGAAGAGGUCAAGAGAUCGAGAUCAUCCCGGCCAACAUGGUGAAACCCCAUCUCUACUAAAAACACAAACAUUAGCUAGAAAUAACAAGAAAGUUAGAAAGUCUUCUGCCUCCCAUCAGAAAAUGAGCUCAAGUGUUGCGAGUAUCCGUUGAAAAUGCCAUCUGAUGCUAAUCAUCUCUGAGUGAACCCUACAUCUUACAGUAAAUUGCAUAUUGCAAUAAAAAGUGAUCUCUCA
Pan troglodytes (chimpanzee) is the source of this 241-nucleotide long non-coding RNA. RefSeq lists it as uncharacterized. Lineage: Eukaryota; Metazoa; Chordata; Mammalia; Primates; Hominidae. The record is from RefSeq and is a predicted model, not a curated record. The transcript has 3 exons.